Molecule: ribosomal RNA, 163 nt
Filed under: Corymbia confertiflora
Lineage: Eukaryota; Viridiplantae; Streptophyta; Magnoliopsida; Myrtales; Myrtaceae
Description: 5.8S ribosomal RNA
Rfam family: 5.8S ribosomal RNA
About the family: 5.8S ribosomal RNA (5.8S rRNA) is a component of the large subunit of the eukaryotic ribosome. It is transcribed by RNA polymerase I as part of the 45S precursor that also contains 18S and 28S rRNA. Functionally, it is thought that 5.8S rRNA may be involved in ribosome translocation.
Source: RNAcentral
AUAAUGACUCUCGGCAACGGAUAUCUCGGCUCUCGCAUCGAUGAAGAACGUAGCGAACUGCGAUACUUGGUGUGAAUUGCAGAAUCCCGUGAACCAUCGAGUCUUUGAACGCAAGUUGCGCCCGAAGCCAUUUGGCCGAGGGCACGUUUGCCUGGGUGUCACA